AUUCAGAAUACGACUUAAUGUGUAUUACCAUUAAAUGUGAAGUUCGAUUUGCUGGUCGUCGUGGUCACACAUUAAAUACUUACUCAGUGUGCGUUCCAACCAAACCCAGACGUCAUUCUUGGAUAUCUCGUAAUUCCUCUGGACUCAAACCUUUCUUGCUCGUGUCGCCCAAGAUGGCGUUGAAAUCGUCUACGGCUUUUCUUCGUGCCUUUCGAUCUCCUCCACAUAUGUAAUAUCUUCCAGGAGAGUUACAGGUGGCCUGAGCAACAGCGUGGAAGAGGCAGUUCUGAUCUUCUGAAUUUACUGGGAUCACGGUUCCAUCUGGUCUCAGGAUUUCAAAAUGACCACUGCACGGGCUCUGUUCACCACGAAUCCAUUUAGUUAUCUUUGAGAAGAACCCCCUCCUCCUGUAAAAAAUACAUGAAUAAACCAAAAAAAACAACAAAUCAGUCACUCUGGACAAAAAAGGGAAAAGGUGAGACUAACAAAUCUCCCUGUAAAUAUAAGUAGUCCAUAACAUUUGUUUAUUACUUUAAAAUUUAUUUAAGAGUUUUGAUUGGGACCAAUAAUUAUGUUGUUGUACAUAAAAUCUGUCAUGUAAGUUGUGUCCACCAGUGAAGCUGUUGGAAUAAUACUGAUGAAGAAGCAUAAGGAAAACGAAUGUUGGAAAUAAUGUAUAUAAUCAGUUUAAACUAUAACAGUAAAGGAAGUCAAUUCAAUUUUGUUUUAUAUAUCACCAAACCACAACACCCAGUGCAUCAUGGGAAUCCCCCAGCAGCCUACACCUAUUGCAGUAAAACUAAGGGAGGAUUCGGGGUCACCUGAUCCAGCCCUAACUAUGUGCUUUAGCAAAAAGGAAGUUUGAAGCCUAAUCUUAAAAGUAGAGAUAGUGUCUGUCUCCCGAAUCCAAAUGUAUGCUAUGUCUUAUAAUGUAAUAUAAUGUAAACAGAAUUGGUCCUAGCACUGAACCCUGUGGAACACCAUAAUUGACCUUAGUGUCUGAAGAGGACUCUUCAUUUACAUGUACAAAUUGGAGUCUAUUAGAUAGAUAUGAUACAAACCACUGCAGUGCAGUACCUGUAAUACCUACAGCAUGUUCUAAUCGCUCUAAUAGGAUAUUAUGGUCAACAGUAUCGAAUGCAGCACUGAGGUCUAGCAGGACAAGCACAGAGAUGAGUCCACUGUCAGAGGCCAUAAGAAGAUCAUUUGUAACCUUCACUAAAGCUGUUUCUGUGCUGUGAUGAGCUCUGAAACCUGACUGAAACUCUUCAAAUAAGCCAUUCCUCUGCAGAUGAUCUGUUAGCUGUUUGACAACUACUCUUUCAAGGAUGUUUGAUAUGAAAGGAAGGUUGGAGAUUGGACUAUAAUUAGCUAAGACAGCUGGGUCUAGAGAUGGCUUUUUGAGUUAAGGUUUAACUACAGCCACCUUGAAGGCCUGUGGUACAUAGCUGAUUAUUAGAGAUAGGUUGAUCAGAUUUAAGAUUGAAGCAUUAAUUAAUGGCAGGACUUCUUUGAGCAGUUUUGUAGGAAUGGGGUCUAAAAGACACGUUGAUGGUUUGGAGGAAGUAAUUAUUGAAGUUAACUCAGAAAGAUCAAUUGGAGAAAAAGAGUCUAAAUGAAUAUCAAUGGUACUGAAAGUAGCUGUAGAUAAUAUUACAUCUGUGGGAUGAUUAUUGGUCAUUUUUUCUUUAAUGAUUAAAAUUUUAUUUGUGAAGAAGUUCAUGAAGUCAUUACUAGUUAACGUUAAAGGGAUGGUUGGCUCAAUAAAGCUCUGACUGUUUGUCAGCCUGGCUACAGUGCUGAAGAGAAACCUGGGGUUGUUCUUAUUUUCUUCAAUCAGUGAUGAAUAGUGAGAUGUUCUGGCUUUGCGGAGGGCUUUCUUAUAAAGCAGCAAACUAUUUCUCCAGGCUAAAUGAGGAUUGUUACACACCAUUUCAAUAUUAACUGAAGUGACAUGCGAUUAAUGUAACCGGGUGUCAUUAUUGACCCUGUACAUGAGAAAAUGCUAACUUCCUGGUUUGAGACCGGAGCUGUGUCCCAAAACGUCGGCUGCAUCCUUCGGAGGACCCGGCCUUCGCGGUCUACGUGGGCCGGGUCCUUCGAAGACCGAGAAGGCCGGAAGUGCGAGGCUGUGAAAUGGGACGGUCUAGCCUUCAGAUUUGCGUCAUGUGGGGAUGUGGGGUUGUACAUUUCCGGUAGCUUUACUUUGCGGUCAAUCACUACUGCGAAGAUAUACUGCAAAAUCAUGUCCAAAACUCGAAAACGGAAAGAUCGCGUUAAGUUACAAAGAGGAGAAGGUGGGAACACUCACCACUGUUGUGUCAUAAAAAAUCUAAUGAUCAAUUUUGACGUUUAAAGAGUUUAGAUCGAUCAAUUGUUUACAUCACUCAACACAAGCAGAACUGCAUUACAGAAUCAGAAGACACAUCGUCCACAUUCAGAAGCACAUCUCUGUAUAGUGACUGGCAGUGUUGGGAAGGUUACUUUUAAAAUGUAUUUGUUGCAGGUUCCAUUUGCUAGGGCAGAAAUACCGUGGUAACUCGCACUUCUCAUGGAGGAAUAAACCACAUACACGUUGUUAGAGUUU
This is a long non-coding RNA of Oreochromis aureus, 2587 nucleotides long. Lineage: Eukaryota; Metazoa; Chordata; Actinopteri; Cichliformes; Cichlidae. The record is from Ensembl.